UACGGAAGGCAGCAGUGGGGAAUAUUGCACAAUGGGCGAAAGCCUGAUGCAGCUAUGCCGCGUGUAUGAAGAAGGCCUUAGGGUUGUAAAGUACUUUCAUCGGGGAGGAAAAAACAAAACUAAUAAUUUUAUUUCUUGACGUUACCCGAAAAAGAAGCACCGGCUAACUCCGUGCCAGCAGCCGCGGUAAUACGGAGGGUGCUAGCGUUAAUCAGAAUUACUGGGCGUAAAGAGCACGUAGGUGGUUUUUUUAAAGUCAGAUGUGAAAUCCCUGGGCUUUAACCUAGGAACUGCAUUUUGAAACUGAAAUACUAGAGUAUCGUAGAGGGAGGUAGAAUUCUAGGUGUAGCGGUGAAAUGCGUAGAUAUCUGGAGGAAUACCUGUGGCGAAAGCGGCCUCCUAAACGAAUACUGACACUGAGGGUGCGAAAGCGU
Molecule: ribosomal RNA, 434 nt
Filed under: uncultured bacterium
Lineage: Bacteria
Description: bacterial SSU rRNA
Rfam family: Bacterial small subunit ribosomal RNA
Source: RNAcentral